This 73-nucleotide transfer RNA is filed under the name Deferribacterales bacterium. RNAcentral describes it as "tRNA-Phe". It matches the Rfam family "tRNA". Rfam says of the family: Transfer RNA (tRNA) molecules are approximately 80 nucleotides in length. Their secondary structure includes four short double-helical elements and three loops (D, anti-codon, and T loops). Lineage: Bacteria; Pseudomonadati; Deferribacterota; Deferribacteres; Deferribacterales. RNAcentral also lists the same sequence under 1 other name. The record is from RNAcentral.
GCCCAAGUAGCUCAGUUGGCAGAGCAAGGGACUGAAAAUCCCUGUGUCGAUGGUUCGAUUCCGUCCUUGGGCA